AACGCGACGUGCACACUCGAGAUUAAAAAACACGCAAAAACGCCCGCGUGUCGAUUCCGCGCUCAAGGAGCGGCGCUCCAACGGCGCUCGGCAGGUCCGACCGGCUGCCCGCGGCGGGCGGUUUGCAACGUCGAAAAAACACGUAAAAAGACAGUUGCACCGCCGCGGGACCUACGUUUCGUAUGCAGUGGAGUGUGCUUUAUCUGCCCGCGAUAGCUCCACUGCACGCCGGUCGGAUUUCGACGCAAAAGUUUUAUUAAUUUUUCCUGCCUCUACAGCCGUCCACAAACAUCCAUCGACAGAGCCAGUAUAGUCGCCACUCCUCGCCUCCAGGAUAUCAGCGCAAGAAGGUAAAUACAGACGCGGAAUCGCACGAGGCAAUCGCCUUCCCUGAACGAAGAUCAAAUUUUCUUUCUAUACAUGUGGUCGACAGGGGAGGCAACGCGCGCGAGCCCUGGACAACGGAGUACCGUAAUUUUGAAGUACCCAAAGCUCAGAGAGCCGAGAAGCGAUGCUUUACAACUGCUACGUUCGCAUUUUAUCCUCUCCGAAUCGCUAAUUCGAGUAUGCCAAUGCCAUCGGGCGCCACGUAGCGGCGAUAGUUGUUAGUACAACGUACGUUUAACUGCUGAAAGAGGGCUGUAGUGAUUCGUGUAUCGAGAUAAUAAUAUGUAAUAAUGAUAAUAUAAUAAUAUUUUUCCCUAUACGUA
This 710-nucleotide long non-coding RNA is filed under the name Harpegnathos saltator (Jerdon's jumping ant). RNAcentral describes it as "uncharacterized LOC105190468, transcript variant X1". The record is from RNAcentral. Lineage: Eukaryota; Metazoa; Arthropoda; Insecta; Hymenoptera; Formicidae.